This 523-nucleotide ribosomal RNA is filed under the name uncultured bacterium. RNAcentral's name for it is "bacterial SSU rRNA". It matches the Rfam family "Bacterial small subunit ribosomal RNA", at positions 524 to 1050 of the family's 1533-position model. The record is from RNAcentral.
UACGGAGGAUCCGAGCGUUAUCCGGAUUUAUUGGGUUUAAAGGGUGCUCAGGCGGGGGAUUAAGUCGGCGGUGAAAUUUUGCAGCUCAACUGUAAAAGUGCCUUCGAAACUGGUUUCCUUGAGUGUGGAUGAGGUAGGCGGAAUUUGUGGUGUAGCGGUGAAAUGCAUAGAUAUCACGAGGAACUCCGAUUGCGCAGGCAGCUUACUAAACCAUAACUGACGCUCAAGCACGAAGGCGUGGGGAUCAAACAGGAUUAGAUACCCUGGUAGUCCACGCAGUAAACGAUGAUUACUGGCUGUUUGCGAUAUAAUGUAAGCGGCUGAGCGAAAGCGUUAAGUAAUCCACCUGGGGAGUACGUUCGCAAGAAUGAAACUCAAAGGAAUUGACGGGGGCCCGCACAAGCGGAGGAACAUGUGGUUUAAUUCGAUGAUACGCGAGGAACCUUACCCGGGCUUGAAAUGCGUCUGACAGUCGGAGAGAUCCGAUCUCCCUUCGGGGCAGACGUGUAGGUGCUGCAUGGUU